GGGGAUGUGGCGCAGUGGUCAGCGUGUUUGCUUUGCAAGCAAAAAGUCGUGAGUUCGAAUAUUUAAUACUCACCAUCUCCA
RNAcentral lists this transfer RNA (81 nucleotides) under Cryptomonas sp. Its description in RNAcentral is "tRNA-Ala". It matches the Rfam family "tRNA". From Rfam's summary of the family: Transfer RNA (tRNA) molecules are approximately 80 nucleotides in length. Their secondary structure includes four short double-helical elements and three loops (D, anti-codon, and T loops). Lineage: Eukaryota; Cryptophyceae; Cryptomonadales; Cryptomonadaceae. The record is from RNAcentral.